Molecule: ribosomal RNA, 460 nt
Filed under: uncultured bacterium
Lineage: Bacteria
Description: partial 16S ribosomal RNA
Rfam family: Bacterial small subunit ribosomal RNA
Source: RNAcentral
CCUACGGGAGGCAGCAGUGAGGAAUAUUGGUCAAUGGACGAGAGUCUGAACCAGCCAAGUAGCGUGAAGGAUGACUGCCCUAUGGGUUGUAAACUUCUUUUAUAAAGGAAUAAAACGAGGCACGUGUGCCUUUUUGCAUGUACUUUAUGAAUAAGGAUCGGCUAACUCCGUGCCAGCCGCCGCGGUAAUACGGAGGAUCCGAGCGUUAUCCGGAUUUAUUGGGUUUAAAGGGAGCGUAGAUGGGUUGUUAAGUCAGUUGUGAAAGUUUGCGGUUCAACCGUAAAAUUGCAAUUGAUACUGGCAGUCUUGAGUACAGUUGAGGUAGGCGGAAUUCGUGGUGUAGCGGUGAAAUGCUUAGAUAUCACGAAGAACCCCGAUUGCGAAGGCAGCUUACUAAACUGUGACUGACAUUGAUGCUCGAAAGUGUGGGUAUCAAACAGGAUUAGAUACCCUUGUAGUC